AGGUCAGGUUGUUGAAUAAGGUGAGCUAUAGUUCAGAGCAACUGCAGGAAUGUGGAAGUACAUUUUAAUUAAGUGUUAUAAUCCAUAACUCCAGGAUAUGCUUGACCUCCCUCAACCCUGGCCAGACUCAAGAUGGGACCAGGUAGGGCUCAUUGGGGUCUUCAAAAAGCUGUGGAUAAACCCACUCAAGGAAAGGUUUUGCAAAUGAAAGGAGGCACAAGGGGCAAAUUAAUGGACUGUGAUGGCCUAAAGAACAACUAAGGAACAGAAUAAGAAAUCAAUCUUCUGCUAGAGUCUGGUGGAGCUGCUUCAGUCCCCUGGGAUGACAAUGAACACUGACAGCCACCCCCAAGAGGAAAAAAGCAUCAACAUCUGUGAAGGACACUAAGUAAGGUAGGCUACCUCUAGAGAAAAUCAGGGGGAGCAAGUAGACAACAAAACACCCUGAAAUUUAUUGGAGUUCAGGGUAUAAUUUUGCAGUCAGAACAGCACGGGGGCCAUAUUCUGCAGCCAUUCCUAUGCAAUAUGACCAAAAUUACUGGCAGUCUCCUUUGCAUGGAUACGUGGAACAGAGUUGGCUGCUUUCCUGUAUGUUCUACGUGCCCAGAUGGGAAGCAAAUGGAGCACCAGGACAGACAUUAGGGGUAAAUUAAUUUAAUCCAAGAGUGGGUUUCCUCACAGUAUUGCCUGCAUGGGAACAUCCACGUGUGCUUAGCCUUCCUCUUCCAUGUGUACCACUUGUGUUUUGCUUUGCUUAAAAACAGAGGAAAAAUCCAGUUGCUCAUCACAAGGCCUAUUUUCAGCCUACAUUUGGUCACAGGAGAAGUUUGCUUUGGUCCUUGCUUGAAAAGAAUUAAAAAUGGAAGAUUUAAGGAGGAUGUGGAUGUAGCCCACUCUUUUAUUCACACAUCUCCAGGUCCUUUGCCUCUUUCCUGGACAUACAAUGUCUCGUUUAUUUGUGCCACGUCACUGAGAGCAUCGUGGCAGCCCUCAGUGGUGAGUUACUGACUGGCUAAUUCCUAAGGUCAGCACCAACCCUCGCACAGAGCAGAAAUGUUCCUUCUACCUGAUUAGGCAGCACUGCAAGAGAGCAGUGGGAGGCCAAGGAUUCUCUGGUUACAAGGCUGAUUAGCCUUCCUUAAAACAAACUUGAACUGAACCAGGGGUGAAUGAUCCAGAAAGUAACAAAGUGCAUCUAAUUGGAGUAGAAACAGAACAAACUGUGCUCUUCUUUUUUGGCUUCCUUUUAUGCUUUAAUGAGAAGUGAUAAGCACCAUGUCUGAUACCAUUAAAGGGCUUGAGUGGAUGAGCCUCUUGUCUUGGGCCAGAUGCUGCUAUCCUUGACACCAACAUAAACAAGUAUUCCCUGGUAUGGAUCCAAGCAGCAGAGGCCUGUCUUACAUUGCAGCAGCCCAAGCUUGAACCUUGAAAAGCCCAGGCUUCUUUUCAGUCCUUCACAUUGCAAUGAGAACAUCUGACCUCUCCGCUUAACCCUAAAUUAAAUUUGCCUUUGGUUUUUCUGGGCAGGAGGGUCAACUUGCAAAACAUUUGGAGCUGCUUGGUUCCCACCAGUCUAAAGUUCAGGGGAGGUCAACUCACAGCAGUGCCACAGACCCCAGCCUUGUACAUCUGCUCGUUGUCACACGUGGAGCUGCACAUCAGCUGUGCUGAGUACAGAAUUCGCAUGGCUUCUCCUUGGGGCAGCUUCUUAUGCUCAAAGUGCACCGAGGCUGAAGGAGAAUGCACAGGAAUUCCUACAGAAGUCUCUGGCUGAGUCGAAAAGGAGGCACUGAAAUGUGCUGCUGUAACAGGAAUGUAAUGAAAACUGUAAUAUCAGCACUGGGUGCUGGUGAAAUUAUCCAGAUUUUUCAUAUCAUGCUGCAGAUUUCUCUGCUGUCCUUUACCCUCAUAUUCUUGUGGGAUUGCUUAAAAGAAAUAAAGGUGAUGCACCAGAGAUGUCUGAGAUGUGAUAAAAAUCAGUCUCUCUUUAAUCAGUAUCCCUUAACUAUGCAACUAGGGACAAUAUAUUAAUUUCUAAGUGGGAAAAGAAAGAGGGUAGAAAGUUCCUUCCUGUGUUUAAUCCUAAAAUUAUUUCCUGUAGAUGCUGAAUACUCUCCUUACGGCCCUGGAGGUGUUUCAGUAAGAGCACAUUUGACUGUGCCUUGAGGCUCACCAAGGGCUGGGCUGUCCCCUCACCAAGCACACAGCUGUAAAACAUCCUACACAAGGCAAGAACGAGGAUCUGACUCGGAUUUGAAUGACUUCUUGGUCCAGACAGGAAUCAGCCUGAGCCAGCUCCCUUGCCUUGAUGUGUUUUAGGAAGCUGACUGGGAUUCUGGGGAACUAAGCCAAGCCCUUGUCCCUCCUAAUGUGCCCACUCGGAGUGAGACGUAGCAGUGCCAGCCCUUAGAAAGGUGCCAGUUGUGCUCUCAAACGCAUUCAGAUUUUCAGGCUGGAGGUGUGGGGAUAGGCCAAUCAUUAGUUCUCAGUUUAACUUUUUUCCAGAGGUGUUGUGACCUCCUGCCCACAGAGGGUUGUAGGCUGUGCAGCUGCACAGGGCCAGGAUGUCAACACUGGCAUGCACAGCUGCCAGCAUUGCUCAGAGGUCAAGCUCCCAAAAUUAUGAGAGAGUCCAAGAGGAGAAGGAAGAAACCUAAAGCUUGGAAAAAGGCAGGGGGGGAAAAAAAGUCUGAAGCUUAAAUGUUUGUGGCAGUUCCUAAACUAUGGCAAGAGGUGCUCCCGACUCCACAAUCCUGUCCAAAGCCAGGGUUCAACCAAGAGCCAGGCUUCCUUCCCAACUCCACCCUCAGCUUCAGCAAGGCCAGACCAAUUCUCCCAACACUUGACAAAGCAGAUCUAUCCCAGGGAAGAGUUUUUCCAGCAUGCUAGGAAAAAAUCUGGCAACGCCUCUGGACAGCUUCAGCAAUCAAAACACUCCAGGGCCUCUCAUUUAUUGGUAAGAUUUUCCAAUGAUUCCUUGUUUAGUUUUCUUUUUAUAGAUUUUUGUCUUUCCUGUGAAAUGACAAACCCAAACAAAAAAAAAUGUGUUUGCUUUAUUUCUGUCCUUUUAAAACUCUUCUAAUGAGGGUAGCAAAGAGAUGCAGGAGGAUGGAAGAGGCUGUAGGGGGAUCAGCUGCUGAGCCAUGUCAGUGGCUAUGGACUAGUUUGACUCCAUCAUUCAUGGCACAGGUGAACAUUUUUUGGAGGCUGAGGGAUAUUGGGGUGUCCCUUUCCUGCUCCCUCCAUCCCAGUUGAUGCUGUCCCAGCUCCAUUUCACAGUGUAGGGCAGGAAUUCCCUUCUCCUGCAGAGUUUAGGAGAGCAUCCCAGGAUGGUGUUGCCAAUCCAGCUCCAAACAGCGAGUGAAGGCUUUCAACGAUUUGUGAGAGGUAUUUUUCUCUCUGUGGAAAUGUUCAGACCUUCACACACAGGCCAUAUUUCUGCAUUAAGUCAAAGUGAAUGAUCUCAUACCCUUGAAUUAAAUCAGUGGGGACGAUGAUGGUAAACCUGGCUUUAUAUUGAUAGUGUCAUCUUAUUGUCCCUACUCUGCAUCUCCUUCCCCGUGGCAGCGUGGCAGUGAACCUCCAGCGUGGAUGUUCCAGCAUCCCUCUCAUUUAAUGCAGCUCUCUCUGGCCUUACAGGAUAGAUGGCUCCAUCCUAAACAGAUUAACUCCUUCUGAGGAGCCACACAAAGCGGAUUUAUGUUCCCUGGAUCUGCAUGCAAAUACACAGCUGCACGACAAGGGGACUCGUGUGCGCAUCGGGGACAAAACACACCCUGAAAAGCCCCUCCCCACAUCCACAGGCCUGCAGAGAGGAAGAGCAGGAGGAACAGUGAGAGGCUGAUCCCAGCCCAUGGGGGUUGCAUCAGGCUAAAUAAUAUUUAUCUGCACUCAUUUAUCUACCAGGUUCACGUGGAAUAAGACACAGGUGACUCACUCGAUGGGAAUUUUUUGUCUCUCAAACACUAUUAAACUUCUGGAAAGCUCACAGCAUCAAACUCUUACUAAAAAGUUUCUUUUUUAUACGUACAAAUUUACAACAGCAAACAGCAAAUUCUUGAAGACAGAGUAGAGACCUGUCCCUAGAAUACAGAAUGAUAUCACACGAAUUUCUGUGUUUCAGCUCCAUUUAAUAACACCCAAUUUUUCUAACCCAAUGGCAAAAUAAUUUUUCUAAACUACUAGCAAAUUUAUUCUAUUCUCUCCUAAUAAAAAUUGAGAUGUCCUGAUCAAGGGUUUGAUGCAAAACUGAAAGAAACCAGUGAUAAUCUUUCCACUGACCUCAAUAAGCUUGGAUAGAGACCCUGAAAUAAAAGUUAAUGUGUAUCAGGAGAAACAGUGAGCUGGAAGUGAAACAACACAGAUAAAUCUAUUGCCUAAAAUUGCUGCAGGAAUAGCAUUUGUCUGAUGUUUUUUAGUAUAGUUACAUUCUAAAAUACAUUCUCUGUGUGGUUAUAGCAAGCUUUUUCCUUAAAUGAAAAAAAAUGGAGCCAGUCAGACUUCUCCAUUUGAAUGCUGAUGGCAUUUUUCAUUUUUAUGCCCUUCUCCAAAGCAGAAAAGCAGGAGAUUUUGCUGAAGCGAUAAGGGAAUUUAUACAUUCAGAACAGAUCUGCACUAUUAUGACUCCAACAUGUAAUGCUGAGGCAAUAAAAUUUAUGACUGUCUUCCUCAGUGCCUUAAUGAGGCAUUGCGAGGCUCACUGUAUAUUUGCAAAUGUCUUAACAGAUAAUGAUUUUAAAAAGUACUGGAGUACAGCUGCCAGCACAAAUGGUCAUAACACCAAUUAUCUUCACAGGAUUUAGUCAUUAUGUGGAAUCAGAGGCAAAACUGAAUCACGGGCCAGUUUUCUCCUCCAGUUUGUGAGGGAAGUCAAGGGAACACAUUUCUCCAGACCCAUCUCCUGUUAGCUUUCCUCUCCACUGCUGCCAUAAUCCAAGCAAUUAAACUGAGCCUCCUGAUGAGACUUAUUACUUUUAAUCCGGCUUGUUACGGGGCAUAAGUGGUUUUGCUAAUCUGUUUUUGGCACGCCUGCUUUUCUCAGCACAGCCCUCCUUGUGAUGGGAGCAGGGGUGCUCCGGGAGCACCUGGCACAGGCUCCCUGAUGGAUGAGUGGCUGACACCCCACUCAAGCGAGUGAUCCUAAAUCCGCAACAAUCAGCUCAGAGUCAUGUGGGACCGGGGAGAGAUGGGGAAGGUGAGUGGAUUGACAAAAUCAAUUGUGGAAAUAAAUUCCUUGCAGAAAACUCUCCAUAGCUGUACAUCUUUGGGCCUGAAAGUGCAAGAAAGUGGGAUCACCUUUGUUGCCUAUCUCCAAGCUCCCCAGACUCUUCCUUGUUUUUUGGAGUGAGUUUGUUUGUUUGGGGAGGAAAUGGCAAAUUAUUAAAACCUUCCAUCUCUUCUGUUUCACUGCCAAGCCACAGCCAAAGCCACGGGCUUGUUUAAGGUCAGGCCAGUGUAUGGGGGUUUGGGGCAUUCCAGAAAGGUGCAAUCAUAGAGUCAUGGAAUGAUUUGGGUUGGAAAGGACCUUAAAGAUAAUCUCGAUCCAACCUCCUGCCAUGAACAGCAAUGCCACCCAUGAGAUCAGCUUGCUCAGGGCCCCGGAUGACCUGGCCAAUGACUGAUGCUAACUUCAUUUCCCCUAAAUUCAGAAUCGAGCAAUCAGAAGCAGCAACGUCUCUGUUUCCCAGAAGAAGGACAUCUGUGGCCCAUUGACCUCUUCAACUUCCCCAUUUGCUUUUAGAGUGAAGGGAGAGCCCUUUAUGUGUCAUUUUUCCUGGGAAACUCAACUAAGAGCAGCCUUUGGCAGAGGAUUGCGUCAGCAGCUGAAGGCUGCUCCUGGUUUUCAAAGCACGGGAUCCUGCUGGCUCCUGGGGGGUCCCUAUUCCAGCAGCAGCGGGUUUGGGAGACACUGAGGGCUGCUCUGCUAAGCAGUGACUCAGCUCCCCACUAGAAAGGUCAGAGGUUUACUCAUAGGUCAUGAUGAAGUCAUUAGUCCUGAAUUUCCAUCAUACUGGACGGAAUUCAACCAGCUCCCACGGCCUCAGUGUUCAUCCGAGCAAUUCCUCUUGGCUGGCUCUGAGUGAAGCCAUGGAGAGAUGUCAGGACACUGAUCUGAUCUGCCCUGCACCCCUGCAGCAGCCACAGUUUACUGCCCAGGUCUGAAGGACAAACCUUCACCAUGCUGUCUUGUCUGCUCCCACACCUGAAUGGCCAGAUAAGGCAGAAACCUGUUUAUUAAUUUAGCUUCCAGGUCAGGCAUGAAAGGAAAGGAUGUGAUGAGCUCACUGGCUUAAUGUCCUUAGCUGCUUGGGUUGAUUUAAGGUAUGUGUUUUGGUAAGGUCCAGAGACCAAUUUUUCCUGUCUAAUAAAGCAGAUAAAUGGAAAGGAAACAUUUGCCUCAAAAUAUUUUCUGCAAACGCCCAUGGUUUUUCCCUCUGAA
Long non-coding RNA from Corvus hawaiiensis (hawaiian crow), 6439 nucleotides. RefSeq lists it as uncharacterized. Lineage: Eukaryota; Metazoa; Chordata; Aves; Passeriformes; Corvidae. The transcript has 3 exons. The record is from RefSeq and is a predicted model, not a curated record.